RNAcentral lists this unclassified non-coding RNA (90 nucleotides) under Pseudomonas moraviensis. Lineage: Bacteria; Pseudomonadati; Pseudomonadota; Gammaproteobacteria; Pseudomonadales; Pseudomonadaceae. The record is from RNAcentral.
UGUAGGAGUGAGCCUGCUCGCGAUAGCGGUCUGUCAGUUGAUAUUAAUGUUGACUGACAGACCGCUAUCGCGAGCAGGCUCACUCCUACA